GCCCCGCUGCGCCCCAGCCGGCUGCUUUCGCUCCGGCGGAAAAGGAGCGGAGGAGGCCGGUGUUGCCCCGCCGCCGCUGGGAUUGUUCCUCACAAUUGACACGGUACUGUACAAGCUGUUCUUCGCUGUGUUUCUUGAAUACGCACGAAUUGACAACUGACAUAAACACUUCGCGGGAAUAAUAUAGCAUAAUUUGUGGGUGUAAAUGUGCCUUCAGAACUCGCUUCAGAGCUGGCCCAGCAAAUGCAUAAAUGAUGCCGAAGUCUCUCAGAACGGCAGCAAACAGUUCUCAACACAGCACGUUGUAGUUUGUACGAGGGUGGUUUGUAAUGUAUAAUUCUCUGUCCGUGAAGGCUUUUUGCAAUAUUUGUUCUAAACACAAACUAUUAAAUCGUACCGUGUAUUUCGUUAAUUGAGAGCCUGAGAACUGUGGCGUCAAGCAGGGAGACAACUGGGCUCUGAUCCUGCAAGCGGUAAUGGAGUCAUGCUUGCUAUUUAUCAGGACUUCUAGGAUCAAUUGUUCAUAACUUCUGCAAAACUAGAGACAAAAUCCCUGCUUAAGGAUCAAGCAAAUGCAGACUGAAAAAUCCGUGUAAAGAAAGAUAAAUGUCAUAAUGAACAAUCAGGGAAGCUACACGAGAUACCGAGUGUAGCUCAUUUUCAGGGAGCAGACUUGGGUAGAAAAUUCGAAGUACGCCCAGAACGCAGCUGUAGGAUGUGGUAUUGAAAACCUGCUCAUUCUGAAGUUCGCUGUGUUAGAAUAAUUAAUGUAUGAAGUUCCCGCAGUGCCUGAGAGGGAAAAGAGCAAGUCUGCAACGCAUAUUUUUCUGUGCUUGACAGCAUGCCUUCGAGGGAGUUAUUUUUAUAUUAAAUAUAUGUGCUUAAGUUACUUCAAAAUAUGUCAAAUGCCUUUGUUUGGACGUUUUGGGUUUGUUUGGGGGUUUUUUGUUUGUUUCAGGUUUUUUUUCUACAUUGUUAAAAUUUUUGUAUACUGUAUUCCAGCAUUUCUGCUGCUCACAUAACUUAAUAGGCGAAUUGUGCAUGUUUGCUGUGUUAUUGCUGACAAAAAUGGCACGGUAAACCACUGAACACAGAGGUGAAAGCUAACGGAAUUUUGUACCAAACCCACAUGACAAGGCUAAUUUCUAGUUUAACUGUGUAUUCUUCUAGACAAAGUCUUCCUGUCAUUUAGAAGUACUUAAAAAUAUGAAAAUAAAUUGCUGGUUAUUCAUAUAGAUUAUUACAGAUUCCUGUGGAGGAGGAGCACAGCAGGAGAAGGUGACACAACUGCAUCAGCUUGGUUCUUUACCCGACUUAAAUUGAUGUAGGUAGGAACAUUUCCCUCUAGCUGGGGAUCUGUGAUAUUGACAGAUUUAUUUGCUAUUAAGGACCUGGAAUUUAAUUUACCUGAACUGCAAAAGAAGUUUUGAUGGAUAAAGAUAUAGGAUCGGGCCAACGCAAAAAAAAAAAAAAAAAAAAAAAAAAAAAAAAAAAAAAAAAAAUCUCAGUCACUGAACAAUUGGUGUCAGCUUAUUUUAUUGUGUUUUAAAUCCUGGUUUGGCUUAAUUUUCUAAAUUACUUUUGAGAUAUAGUUCAUCAAGAUGUCUGAAACACAAUGGCAGAAAAUUCUAUGGAUCCAAAUAGCUUAGUAGGAGUUUUAAAAGGAUUAUGUAGCUGUAUGGAUAAUAAAAAAAGCCCAAAGAACUGGUAAUACAGGCAUAUAUAAGGGAUAGAAAUACACCAGGGUGUAAAACAAGACUAGAUUUACAUUGUUGGAAAUAGUGUUUCCCAGUGCAGGCUUUUUCAUAAUCCUUUAUCAUGGAGUUACUCAUCAUCGCUUACUUCACUUCAUCUGGGACUGAUAUCUGUCUGAAUAAACCACUUUUAAUUUUGCCAA
Molecule: long non-coding RNA, 1897 nt
Organism: Corvus hawaiiensis (hawaiian crow)
Lineage: Eukaryota; Metazoa; Chordata; Aves; Passeriformes; Corvidae
Exons: 2
Source: RefSeq, a predicted model, not a curated record